GGUGACAUGGCCGAGUGGUCUAAGGCGCUGCGUUCAGGUCGCAGUCUCAGCAAUGGGGCGUGAGUUCGAAUCUCACUGUCACCA
Molecule: non-coding RNA, 84 nt
Organism: Rhizophagus irregularis
Lineage: Eukaryota; Fungi; Glomeromycota; Glomeromycetes; Glomerales; Glomeraceae
Source: Rfam